GGGUUUUUGAUUUAUUAUUGUAGGGUCUGCCUUACAAUUUAAAGCACAUUGAAUGCGACAGUUGUUGUGAUUUGGCACUGUAUAAAUAAAAUUGAAUUGAAUUGAAUUGAAUUGAAUUUGCAUCUUGAUGCAUGAUCAAUCAUCCAGGUAAUUAGAUCUCCAAAAGUUGAUUCUGGACGUAGCGUUUUGUGGAAGAAAUGUUUCUUCCACAAAACGCUACGUCCAAACGAACAGAAUCAUCUUUUGGAGAAUUGAAUUUUCACACAUUAAAUGGAAAAUUCUUGUGAUAACUUUUAGAAUUAAGUGUGGCUGGACAGUUAUUAGAGAGCUACUUCUAACAUUAUGUCUCCAUCAGGACGUCGGGGCUAUCAUAUCAAAAUCUGCCAGUUGCUCUGCAGCCUAGACUCAAAGUUGUGACUGUGGCUUUGAAGUCCCUGAACUUUGUAAACCCAACUAUGACUUUAGAAUCACCAUUUGCAUUUCUGCAUGACUUCUGAUCUAAAAAAAAAAAAAAAAAUGCCCCGGAUAGAACAUAUCAUCUAACAGGAGCUGGUCAAAACUUUUGGUUAAGAAAUAAAUUUCCCUAUCAGGCUGAACAAAAAAAUGUUAGUUAUCUUUUAAAGAGGAUCCAUUUCUUAAUUUCCAGCUUUAUUUUUAAAAACAGCCUGAGCUAUGUGUCAGAGAAGACCAGGCAGGUCAUGCAGACCUAUUCUCACUCACAUAAAUGAGAGUGCUCAGAUCCAUCUGUGCUGUUGGCUCACAGGGACUACCUGCCCUUACCCUGACAUCUUCAUAAGCAAAAUAACACAUCUAAUUUAAAUAUGCAAAUUAUUAUCUAAUUCAAAUCAUUUUUAAAAAUCAACUAUUUAGGUUCUGUCCACCUUGUUUUAUUAGGUAGCUUAAAUUUGUUUUGGAUAACCUGACCUAAUCAUAAUGUUAAUUUCCUCACCUUGGAACAACAACCAGCACAUACAUGCUCUGUAAUAACAUGCACUAUCUUUAUACAGUACCUGUUUCCUGUGAUUGUUGUAAUUCAGUUCAGCUUGUAUUAGUUUCUCUCAGGGAAGUCUAGCUUAAAUGCCAGAAACCAGAGAAGGCGAAGGAUCCGGUUCAGUUUGCAGAAGAAAAACAGAUGCGUCCCUUCGUCAUCUUUUUUUUCACAGUAGGCAUGCAGUGUGGUUCAGAUGCCUAAUACCGACUAAACUUGGUUGCCGUUAGGUCAGGAACUCUGCUGGAGGUGAGCUGCUGCUGUGUAACAUGAAACCUGCUGCCUGUCUGAAUUUCACCUGUGCACUUUAACAAUGACACAUUUACCAAGUGCAUAACAAACAAACAAAAAAACAAACAAACAAAAAAACUUAGACUUUAGCGCAAUCCUUUUCAUUUUUCCUAUGUACUAAAUGAAUAAAUCCUCUUUCCUGUUUUGUUGCCUCACUUUAAUAUAGAGCACAUGCAGCUAAAGCACAAUGGCAAAAUAUAUGCUUUUCUAUAUGAUUAUAUGAUAAAAUUACAGAAGUAAUGUCAGAAUAUUUUCAAGGAAAUUAGUAAAGGACUGGUUGUGUUGGUGUUGGAUGUUGU
Molecule: long non-coding RNA, 1578 nt
Organism: Astatotilapia calliptera (eastern happy)
Lineage: Eukaryota; Metazoa; Chordata; Actinopteri; Cichliformes; Cichlidae
Source: Ensembl